Molecule: small nucleolar RNA, 79 nt
Organism: Kogia breviceps (pygmy sperm whale)
Lineage: Eukaryota; Metazoa; Chordata; Mammalia; Artiodactyla; Physeteridae
Product: small nucleolar RNA SNORD115
Exons: 1
Source: RefSeq, a predicted model, not a curated record
GGGUCUAUGAUGAGAACUCCUAUGGUCCUGAAGAGAAGAUGACCUAAACGUUAUGCUCAGUAGGAUUACACUGAGGCCC